UACGUAGGAAGCGAGCGUUAUCCGGAUUUAUUGGGCGUAAAGAGCACGUAGGCGGUUUCGCAAGUUGGGCGUGAAAGCCCCCGGCUUAACUGGGGAGGGUCGUCUAAUACUGCGGGACUUGAGGGUGGAUGAGGAGACUGGAACUCCCGGUGUAGUGGUGAAAUGCGUAGAUAUCGGGAAGAACACCAGUGGUGAAGACGAGUCUCUAGGCCACUUCUGACGCUGAGGUGCGAAAGCGUGGGGAGCGAACGGA
Molecule: ribosomal RNA, 253 nt
Filed under: uncultured bacterium
Lineage: Bacteria
Description: partial 16S ribosomal RNA
Rfam family: Bacterial small subunit ribosomal RNA
Source: RNAcentral